UGGAUGACUCUCGGCAACGGAUAUCUCGGCUCUCGCAUCGAUGAAGAACGUAGCGAAAUGCGAUACCUGGUGUGAAUUGCAGAAUCCCGUGAACCAUCGAGUCUUUGAACGCAAGUUGCGCCCGAGGCCAUCCGGCCAAGGGCACGCCUGCCUGGGCGUCACGA
This 164-nucleotide ribosomal RNA is filed under the name Musa splendida. RNAcentral describes it as "5.8S ribosomal RNA". It matches the Rfam family "5.8S ribosomal RNA". From Rfam's summary of the family: 5.8S ribosomal RNA (5.8S rRNA) is a component of the large subunit of the eukaryotic ribosome. It is transcribed by RNA polymerase I as part of the 45S precursor that also contains 18S and 28S rRNA. Functionally, it is thought that 5.8S rRNA may be involved in ribosome translocation. Lineage: Eukaryota; Viridiplantae; Streptophyta; Magnoliopsida; Zingiberales; Musaceae. The record is from RNAcentral.